UCUCCAUGGAGGACCAAGGAUCCAUUUUGGGAUUUUUUUGACCCAAAAUUCUUCCUCAUUUUCAUCAUCAUCAUCAUUUUCAUCUUCAUCAUCUUCAUAAUCUUCAUCAUCUUCAUCUCCUCCAUCAUCUUCCUCUUCCUCCUCCUCCUCCUCAGCCCCUCCCUUUAAUCUUCAUCCCCUCCUCCUCCUCCAUCAUCAUCAUCAUCAGCGGGGCCUUCAUCGCCUCCACCACCACCAUCAUCAUCAUCAUCAUUGCCUCCAUCUUCAGCAUCGGGGCCUUCAUCACCUCCACCAUCAUCAUCAUCAUCAUCACCACCUCCAUCUUCACCAUUGGGGGCCUUCAUCGCCUCCACCACCACCAUCAUCAUCUUCACCUCCAUCUUCAUCACCUCCACCAUCAUCAUCCUCGGGGCCUUCAUCACCAUUUCCGGCCUCUCCCUCCUCCUCCUCCUCCUCAGCCCCUCCCUUCAAUCUUCAUCCCCUCCUCCUCCUCCAUCAUCAUCAUCAGCGGGGCCUUCAUCGCCUCCGCCACCACCACCAUCA
RNAcentral lists this long non-coding RNA (543 nucleotides) under Zonotrichia albicollis (white-throated sparrow). Its description in RNAcentral is "lncRNA (ENSZALG00000001068.1)". Lineage: Eukaryota; Metazoa; Chordata; Aves; Passeriformes; Passerellidae. The record is from RNAcentral.